This 220-nucleotide ribosomal RNA is filed under the name uncultured bacterium. RNAcentral describes it as "partial 16S ribosomal RNA". It matches the Rfam family "Bacterial small subunit ribosomal RNA", at positions 109 to 334 of the family's 1533-position model. The record is from RNAcentral.
AGUAACACGUGGGAAUCUACCUUAAAGUGGGGAAUAACUGCUCGAAAGAGUAGCUAAUACCGCAUGUGGUCGAAGGACUAAAGCUUCUUCGUAAGAAGGGGUGCUUUAAGAUGAGCCUGCGUCUGAUUAGCUAGUUGGUGGGGUAAAGGCUUACCAAGGCAUUGAUCAGUAGCUGGUCUGAGAGGACGGACAGCCACACUGGGACUGCGACACGGCCCAG